This 451-nucleotide ribosomal RNA is filed under the name uncultured bacterium. RNAcentral describes it as "partial 16S ribosomal RNA". It matches the Rfam family "Bacterial small subunit ribosomal RNA", at positions 29 to 523 of the family's 1533-position model. The record is from RNAcentral.
AACGAACGCUGGCGGCAGGCCUAACACAUGCAAGUCGAACGCUCGUAGCAAUACGGGAGUGGCAGACGGGUGAGUAACGCGUGGGAAUCUACCCAUUGGUACAGAAUAACUCAGGGAAACUUGAGCUAAUACCGUAUGUGCCCGAAAGGGGAAAGAUUUAUCGCCAUUGGAUGAGCCCGCGUCGGAUUAGCUAGUUGGUGGGGUAACGGCCCACCAAGGCGACGAUCCGUAGCUGGUCUGAGAGGAUGAUCAGCCACACUGGGACUGAGACACGGCCCAGACUCCUACGGGAGGCAGCAGUGGGGAAUAUUGGACAAUGGGCGCAAGCCUGAUCCAGCCAUGCCGCGUGUGUGAUGAAGGCCCUAGGGUUGUAAAGCUCUUUCGGCGGGGACGAUAAUGACGGUACCCGCAGAAGAAGCCCCGGCUAACUUCGUGCCAGCCGCCGCAGUAA